RNAcentral lists this ribosomal RNA (465 nucleotides) under uncultured bacterium. RNAcentral's name for it is "partial 16S ribosomal RNA". It matches the Rfam family "Bacterial small subunit ribosomal RNA", at positions 28 to 507 of the family's 1533-position model. The record is from RNAcentral.
GACGAACGCUGGCGGCGUGCUUAGCACAUGCAAGUCGUACGGUAAGGCCCUUUCGGGGGUACACGAGUGGCGAACGGGUGAGUAACACGUGAGUAACCUGCCCACAACUUUGGGAUAACGCUAGGAAACUGGUGCUAAUACUGGAUAUGUGCCCCUGCUGCAUGGUGGGGGUUGGAAAGCUCCGGCGGUUGUGGAUGGACUCGCGGCCUAUCAGCUUGUUGGUGGGGUAGUGGCCUACCAAGGCGGCGACGGGUAGCCGGCCUGAGAGGGUGACCGGCCACAAUGGGACUGAGAUACGGCCCAGACUCCUACGGGAGGCAGCAGUGGGGAAUAUUGCACAAUGGGCGCAAGCCCGAUGCAGCAACGCCGCGUGCGGGAUGACGGCCUUCGGGUUGUAAACCGCUUUCAGCAGGGACGAAGCUUUUUGUGACGGUACCUGCAGAAGAAGCACCGGCUAACUACGUG